Molecule: long non-coding RNA, 811 nt
Filed under: Pogona vitticeps (central bearded dragon)
Lineage: Eukaryota; Metazoa; Chordata; Lepidosauria; Squamata; Agamidae
Description: lncRNA (ENSPVIG00000001287.1)
Source: RNAcentral
AUAGGCGGGAUAUAAAUAAAAUAAAAUAAAAUUAAAAUAUACUUAUUUAUCCAUCUGUCUGCCCUCUUUUCUUUGAGCCAGAGUGGUCUAGUAUCAGACUACUUCCAUAAUGGGUUCUAGAGAGAACACUCCUUAUUAGCCCUUUGCUAAAAUGUGAUCAAAUAGCCCAAAUCCUCUUGUGCGACUUUACUGCUGUGCACGUCGGAGGAUGUCAUCAUUGGGCAACCAGGAUAUUUCAUUUAAAUUAAUAGAAAGCAUCCUGUCACCGCAGAGCCUCGGGAUCUGUGGAGGGGAGCCUUUAAAAGACAAAAACUGUUGCCAGAUUGCCACUGCUGGGACUGUGCCCAUUGGCAAGAAUUGGGCUAUGGUUUUUGCCUAUUAAGGUUUCUGCCACAACCUCAGACUCCCAAAAGCUUUCCCAGGGCAAAAGGGAGCCCUGGGGUGCGUUGGAAACCCAGAGGAGGGAAUAUGAUGCUCUAGAUCAAUUUAAAUUAAAUAUGCUGUUUUCCAGAUGGCGAUGUUACACGGUUUGCAUGGUAUAAGUUAUGCCAGCUGGAUUCCAGGCAAUGUAGAGGGGACACACAGAGAGAGAUAGAGAAGGAAGUGAUUUUGAGAUGGAAGACAUUCUUUGUUCCAGAUGAACCUCCUUCGUUCUCAGUACAUGGACAUUUUUCUCGUGUGUAAAUACCAGGUAGACCUUUGGAGAUGCUGCUGCCCUCGUGUUGUUGUGCAAUAUGUCUUUAACUUUAAUCACUUGCUGGCAUUCAGCCAGAUUCUGAUUCAGGUGAUCUGCUCUUCAGCAGAAAUCUGU